GUUCCGAGUUUUCACAUUAGAAUCUGAUUCCUUGCUUCUCGUUAAUCAUGUGCAGAAGAGAUUGGUGUUGCCUUCAACCAGAAUACAAUAACUCUUAAUGGAGAUGGAUGAUUGCAGUUUCGUCAAUUGUGUUCAUGUGCUUAGAGAGGUUAAUCUGGUUGCUCAUGCACUUGCAAAAUUUGCAUUGAACCUUGAUGUUGAU
RNAcentral lists this unclassified non-coding RNA (202 nucleotides) under Hevea brasiliensis (rubber tree). Lineage: Eukaryota; Viridiplantae; Streptophyta; Magnoliopsida; Malpighiales; Euphorbiaceae. The record is from RNAcentral.